GGUCAAGCGAACAAGUGCAUGUGGUGGAUGCCUUGGCGAUCACAGGCGAUGAAGGACGCGGUAGCCUGCGAAAAGCUACGGGGAGCUGGCAAACGAGCUUUGAUCCGUAGAUGUCCGAAUGGGGAAACCCGGCCCUUUUGGGUCAUCCUAGACUGAAUACAUAGGUCUAGUGAAGCGAACGCGGUGAACUGAAACAUCUAAGUAACCGCAGGAAAAGAAAUCAACCGAGAUUCCCAAAGUAGUGGCGAGCGAAAUGGGAUGAGCCUUGCACUCUUUAUUUGUAUUGUUAGCCGAACGCUCUGGAAAGUGCGGCCAUAGCAGGUGAUAGCCCUGUAGGCGAAAACAGUAUGAAAGAACUAGGUGUGCGACAAGUAGGGCGGGACACGUGAAAUCCUGUCUGAAGAUGGGGGGACCAUCCUCCAAGGCUAAAUACUCGUGAUCGACCGAUAGUGAACCAGUACCGUGAGGGAAAGGCGAAAAGAACCCCGGGAGGGGAGUGAAAUAGAUCCUGAAACCGCAUGCAUACAAACAGUCGGAGCCUCGCAAGGGGUGACGGCGUACCUUUUGUAUAAUGGGUCAGCGACUUACGUUCAGUAGCAAGCUUAACCGUAUAGGGCAGGCGUAGCGAAAGCGAGUCCGAAUAGGGCGUUCAGUUGCUGGGCGUAGACCCGAAACCAGGUGAUCUAUCCAUGGCCAGGAUGAAGGUGCGGUAACACGUACUGGAGGUCCGAACCCACUAACGUUGAAAAGUUAGGGGAUGAGCUGUGGAUAGGGGUGAAAGGCUAAACAAACCUGGAAAUAGCUGGUUCUCUCCGAAAACUAUUUAGGUAGUGCCUCGUGUCUCACCUUCGGGGGUAGAGCACUGUCAUGGUUGGGGGGUCUAUUGCAGAUUACCCCGCCAUAGCAAACUCCGAAUACCGAAGAGUGCAAUCACGGGAGACAGACAUCGGGUGCUAACGUCCGGUGUCAAGAGGGAAACAACCCAGACCGCCAGCUAAGGUCCCCAAAUAUAGCUAAGUGGGAAACGAAGUGGGAAGGCUAAAACAGUCAGGAGGUUGGCUUAGAAGCAGCCACCCUUUAAAGAAAGCGUAAUAGCUCACUGAUCGAGUCGUCCUGCGCGGAAGAUGUAACGGGGCUAAGCUAUAUACCGAAGCUGCGGAUGCGAGCUUGCUCGCAUGGUAGGAGAGCGUUCCGUAAGCCUGCGAAGGUGCCUUGUAAAGGGUGCUGGAGGUAUCGGAAGUGCGAAUGCUGACAUGAGUAGCGAUAAAGGGGGUGAAAGGCCCCCUCGCCGUAAGCCCAAGGUUUCCUACGCAACGUUCAUCGGCGUAGGGUGAGUCGGCCCCUAAGGCGAGGCAGAAAUGCGUAGCUGAUGGGAAGCAGGUCAAUAUUCCUGCACCAUUGUUAGAUGCGAUGGGGGGACGGAUCGCGGAAGGUUGUCCGGGUGUUGGAAGUCCCGGUCGCUGCAUUGGAGAAGGCGCUUAGGCAAAUCCGGGCGCAGGAUUCAAGGGUGUGGCGCGAGCUCCUUAGGGAGCGAAGCAAUUGGAAGUGGUUCCAAGAAAAGCCUCUAAGCUUCAGUCUAACGAUGACCGUACCGCAAACCGACACAGGUGGGCGAGAUGAGUAUUCUAAGGCGCUUGAGAGAACUCGGGAGAAGGAACUCGGCAAAUUGGUACCGUAACUUCGGGAUAAGGUACGCCCUUGUAGCUUGACUGGCCUGCGCCAGGAGGGUGAAGGGGUUGCAAUAAACUGGUGGCUGCGACUGUUUAAUAAAAACACAGCACUCUGCAAACACGAAAGUGGACGUAUAGGGUGUGACGCCUGCCCGGUGCCGGAAGAUUAAAUGAUGGGGUGCAAGCUCUUGAUUGAAGUCCCGGUAAACGGCGGCCGUAACUAUAACGGUCCUAAGGUAGCGAAAUUCCUUGUCGGGUAAGUUCCGACCUGCACGAAUGGCGUAACGAUGGCCACACUGUCUCCUCCCGAGACUCAGCGAAGUUGAAGUGUUUGUGAUGAUGCAAUCUACCCGCGGCUAGACGGAAAGACCCCAUGAACCUUUACUGUAGCUUUGCAUUGGACUUUGAACCGAUCUGUGUAGGAUAGGUGGGAGGCUAUGAAACCGGAACGCUAGUUUCGGUGGAGCCGUCCUUGAAAUACCACCCUGGUUUGUUUGAGGUUCUAACCUUGGCCCGUGAUCCGGGUCGGGGACAGUGCAUGGUAGGCAGUUUGACUGGGGCGGUCUCCUCCCAAAGCGUAACGGAGGAGUACGAAGGUACGCUAGGUACGGUCGGAAAUCGUGCUGAUAGUGCAAUGGCAUAAGCGUGCUUAACUGCGAGACCGACAAGUCGAGCAGGUGCGAAAGCAGGUCAUAGUGAUCCGGUGGUUCUGUAUGGAAGGGCCAUCGCUCAACGGAUAAAAGGUACUCUGGGGAUAACAGGCUGAUACCGCCCAAGAGUUCAUAUCGACGGCGGUGUUUGGCACCUCGAUGUCGGCUCAUCUCAUCCUGGGGCUGUAGCCGGUCCCAAGGGUAUGGCUGUUCGCCAUUUAAAGAGGUACGUGAGCUGGGUUUAAAACGUCGUGAGACAGUUUGGUCCCUAUCUGCCGUGGGCGUUGGAUAUUUGAAGGGGGCUGCUCCUAGUACGAGAGGACCGGAGUGGACGAACCUCUGGUGUACCGGUUGUCACGCCAGUGGCAUCGCCGGGUAGCUAUGUUCGGAAGAGAUAACCGCUGAAAGCAUCUAAGCGGGAAACUCGCCUUAAGAUGAGAUAUCCCUGGGGACUAGAUCCCCUUGAAGGGUCGUUCGAGACCAGGACGUUGAUAGGUCAGGUGUGUAAGCGCAGUAAUGCGUUCAGCUAACUGAUACUAAUUGCCCGUAAGGCUUGA
RNAcentral lists this ribosomal RNA (2877 nucleotides) under Burkholderia cenocepacia J2315. RNAcentral's name for it is "bacterial LSU rRNA". It matches the Rfam family "Bacterial large subunit ribosomal RNA". Lineage: Bacteria; Pseudomonadati; Pseudomonadota; Betaproteobacteria; Burkholderiales; Burkholderiaceae. The record is from RNAcentral.